Molecule: transfer RNA, 73 nt
Filed under: Tumebacillus permanentifrigoris
Lineage: Bacteria; Bacillati; Bacillota; Bacilli; Caryophanales; Alicyclobacillaceae
Description: tRNA-Val
Rfam family: tRNA
About the family: Transfer RNA (tRNA) molecules are approximately 80 nucleotides in length. Their secondary structure includes four short double-helical elements and three loops (D, anti-codon, and T loops). Further hydrogen bonds mediate the characteristic L-shaped molecular structure. tRNAs have two regions of fundamental functional importance: the anti-codon, which is responsible for specific mRNA codon recognition, and the 3' end, to which the tRNAs corresponding amino acid is attached (by aminoacyl-tRNA synthetases). tRNAs cope with the degeneracy of the genetic code in two manners: having more than one tRNA (with a specific anti-codon) for a particular amino acid; and 'wobble' base-pairing, i.e. permitting non-standard base-pairing at the 3rd anti-codon position.
Source: RNAcentral
GCGGUCAUAGCUCAGUUGGUAGAGCACCACCUUGACAUGGUGAGGGUCGCAGGUUCGAGUCCUGUUGAUCGCA